This 531-nucleotide ribosomal RNA is filed under the name Trichocomaceae sp. nPF-63. Its description in RNAcentral is "SSU rRNA". It matches the Rfam family "Eukaryotic small subunit ribosomal RNA", at positions 301 to 839 of the family's 1831-position model. Lineage: Eukaryota; Fungi; Ascomycota; Eurotiomycetes; Eurotiales; Trichocomaceae. The record is from RNAcentral.
AAAUUUCUGCCCUAUCAACUUUCGAUGGUAGGAUAGUGGCCUACCAUGGUGGCAACGGGUAACGGGGAAUUAGGGUUCGAUUCCGGAGAGGGAGCCUGAGAAACGGCUACCACAUCCAAGGAAGGCAGCAGGCGCGCAAAUUACCCAAUCCCGAUACGGGGAGGUAGUGACAAUAAAUACUGAUACGGGGCUCUUUUGGGUCUCGUAAUUGGAAUGAGAACAAUUUAAAUCCCUUAACGAGGAACAAUUGGAGGGCAAGUCUGGUGCCAGCAGCCGCGGUAAUUCCAGCUCCAAUAGCGUAUAUUAAAGUUGUUGCAGUUAAAAAGCUCGUAGUUGAACCUUGGGUCUGGCUGGCCGGUCCGCCUCACCGCGAGUACUGGUCCGGCUGGACCUUUCCUUCUGGGGAACCCCAUGGCCUUCACUGGCUGUGGGGGGAACCAGGACUUUUACUGUGAAAAAAUUAGAGUGUUCAAAGCAGGCCUUUGCUCGAAUACAUUAGCAUGGAAUAAUAGAAUAGGACGUGCGGUUCUA